Homo sapiens (human) is the source of this 1689-nucleotide long non-coding RNA. Lineage: Eukaryota; Metazoa; Chordata; Mammalia; Primates; Hominidae. The record is from Ensembl.
AAAUAUCUUCUAAGAAAUCCUGCUUUUCCUCCAUUGCCAUCCACCCUGUAGAUAAUCCGGGUAGCGCUCUCAUCCUCAUUCUCACAAAAUAGCUGCCAGAGCUCCAGCUAUCUCAUCCAAGUUACAAGAAAUAAGGAAAUAAGGAAGAGCGAAAAGAGCUAAAGGAGGAAAGAAUAUUGUCCAUCACAGGAAAACAAACCUUCUGAGAUAUCCCCAGCAGGCCUCCCCUCAUUGACCUAUUUUACUUGAACAACCUGAGCUGCAACUAGGCAAUGCGAUUUUUAGCCAGGCAUUUUAGCCAGCAACGUUUUCUCCAAUAGAAUUGGACUUCUCUUCAUAAAGUAGAAGGUGAGAGUGGCUGUUCAGUACCUAACACACCACCUUUGCCAUAUGGUUCCUUGCAAGAUUCAGCCACAUUUUCCAGUGAACCACCAGCACGUGACCUCACAGUACGCUGCUGGCCGUGCCUCUUGCAAAAUUGUAACCAUCAAGUUCAUCCACCCUCUACCACCCCCACCUCCAGAAUCUACUGGUGUGUGUGGUGUGUGCAGGAUCUACCUUCAGUCCUCCUCGGACACCAGAAACCGCAGAGCAUGCCCUUGUCCCUUGUCUGCCUGGCCAUCCUGCUAUUCCAGCCCUCUCUCGCCUGCCUCUUCCUCCAAGUGCCCCCUACAGUGCCAGGCACCCUACCCUUCUGGAGGUCGGCAGUUUGCAAACAACUUAAUGAAGGGGGAUAAUUGGGGCAGCCCAAUCUUUAUGAGGGGCCCAUUCAGGAAUCACUCUCCUCUCAGCAGCACUGCACUUCCCCAUCAAGACACCUGCCUUCAACCCAAGUUCUCAUAGAUUACCAGAGGGCUGGAUAGUAGUACUGUGACUAUAACCAGUCACAUUCGAGGGUGGUUUCCUGAACUUAGUUUGUCAUCAAUUUAGAGCCUUUUAUUCUGAGUCUUAGGCUUUAGAUGAAACUCUGGAGUGACCAGAAAAUUCCCCUUGUCUCCCAAACAUGCCCUAUUAUACUUUGUGUGGACUUUUUCACACCCAUCUGCUCCCCACAAAAGAUGCUCCCUCACCUCCCUGAUGGUGCAGUUCUAGGGUUAAUGGACUAUUCUGACCUUCAAGCCCCAUUAUUUUUUUCACAAGUAUUUAUAACUACAGAUGCAUCAGCCAUAAAUGUACAUCCCAACCACCUCAAAUCAGAGGGAAGCUGUGUGGCAAAGCUCAAGUCCAGUUAAUGGGUUUGAAACAGUUGUUGGGCUUCGAGCCUCAUUGCUUCUAUCCUUUUAAAAAGCUUUAGGGUAGUAAGUCAUACCAGAGGAGAUGCUGUAAUCCAUGUCACAGAUAAAAUGCCUAGUUUAUUUUUUCUUAUGUUCUGAACUUUAUUUAAUGCAUAGGGGCUUUGGGAGCUUCGAGAGGGAACCGGGGUGUAUGUGUAAGUGCUGGGUGAAGCUAAGAGAAAAGAAAGAAGAAUCUCAAGUAGUCUUUUCAUCAUCAAAACUCCUGCCUCUGCAGGCUCCCUCUUUCAUCCUAUUGGCUGUUACCUUCCCCCAACUUCCUCCAGGGACAGAUCAUUCCCUUAAGCUCAGACUUUCAUUCUUCAACUACCAUAGCAAUUUGGGUUGUUUUUAUCGUGAGUUCCACAAGUGAGCAACAUUUGCAGCCUUGCCUAGGAGACCUAGGUAGUACCAGGAG